UGUCAGAUCUGUCAUAUUAAGGUCCCUGAUU
Molecule: non-coding RNA, 31 nt
Filed under: Rattus norvegicus (Norway rat)
Lineage: Eukaryota; Metazoa; Chordata; Mammalia; Rodentia; Muridae
Source: RNAcentral